Molecule: long non-coding RNA, 2794 nt
Filed under: Triticum aestivum (bread wheat)
Lineage: Eukaryota; Viridiplantae; Streptophyta; Magnoliopsida; Poales; Poaceae
Description: long non-coding RNA (TAES_LNC001899)
Source: RNAcentral
CCCCCUGAGAACCCUAGCAUCCUCACAUCUCUCCCCUCGCCUCUCUCUCUCCCUCACAGUACCCCCUUUCCCACCGCGCUGCAGCCGCCAUGACCAUCACCAUCGUCGCGGCCGACGACCUCCCCGGCGCCUGAGAAUACAUCCAGGGGCUCCACCGUCGUCGUCUUCUUCACCCUCGACAAAGGGGUCGAGCUAGGAGGCCCCGUUCGCCCGCCAUCUCCAUCGUCUUCCUCGCGUACACCGUCGUCCGACGCCAGAUGCCGACGCUCCCGGCCAUCCCCGACCUCCUCAAGCUCGCCCACGGCCUCAAAGUGAGCUCCUCUUCCGAUUCCCAACCUUUCCCCUUUGAUUUGUCGCCGUUUGUCGUCGUCCCUGAGCUCGGUCGUCCUCGUCCAUGGCCGCCUUUGAGCUUCCGAGCAUGCGCACGCGCCUGCCUGCUCCUGUCGAUGGCCGCGCCCUGGUUGCAUCGUGCGCGCACCCACGCUGCUGCUCCCCUGCGCCUGCACGCGUGUCCGCGCUCCCACGGCCCUGCCUGCAGUUUUUCUUGCUACUGCGUGGCUCCGCUGCUCCCUGUCGCCACUGCUGUUGCGCUAGUGCUGCUGCUUGCUGCUUCCUGGCGCAACGGGUCUGCUCCUCGCUCCUACUGAUGUUCAUGCUAGCCGCUGCCUUAUUGAUGCGUUUUUGCUGCUGCUACUGAUGGCAAUGGCCGUCGUGGCUUGGUGUGCCCAUGCCUACCACAGCCGUGGCACAUCCACUGGAUGUGAGGCCGGCCCUUGCUUAGUCAGAUUAGUUUAGCUUAGGAUUAAAUUGUUAAUUACUUAGUGCAUAGAAAAUGACAUGUGGGACCACAUCGAUUAAUUAACAUUUUGUUAAACUAAAGUCAAUGACAAUUUGGACCCACAUACACUGUUCAUAUAUUGACCAGUUAAUCUUUGACUGGGUCAAACCAUGCCCACUAACCCCACUGGCAUACACUGUGGCUAGAAUAGUACUAGGUAAAAACGUAUAUUCUGUUUUUAAUUCGAAUUAAUAAUAAAUCUAAAAAACAUUAAAACUUUGAAAAAUCAUAUAAAAUAAUCCGUAACUCGGAUGAAAAUACUUUAUACAUGAAAGUUGCUCGGAACGACGAGACGAAUCCAAAUACGCGGCCCGUUUGUCAGCCAUCCGUCCCUAGCAUAGCGAACAUGUAACUUUUCCCAUUCAAUUCAUAUGUCUGAAAACGCGAAACACUGGGGAUAUUUUCCCGCUUCACCGGUAUCACCUAGUACUGUGUGAGGUCACCUCUAGCACCACGCAUUGCCACAUUACGUUUUGUGUUAUUUUGAUUGCUCUGUUAUUUAUUGUAUUCCCCCUCCGUUACUUCUUUCCGGUAGACCCCGAGACUGUCGGCGACCCCCAGUUCGACUACGGUGUUGACGACCCCUCUCUCUUGCCAAAGCAACCAGGCAAGCCCCCCCCCCUUGAUCAGCAGAUAUCGCCUACUCUACUCUCUAUACUGCUUGCAUUAGAAUAGUGUAGCAUGUUACUGCUUUCCGUUAAUCCUAUCCUGAUGCAUAGCCUGUCAUUGUUGCUACAACUGUUGAUACCUUACCUGCAAUCCUAAAUGCUUAUAGGAUGCUAGUCUACCAUCAGUGGCCUUACAUUCUUGUCCGUCUGCCAUGCUAUACUAUUGGGCCGUGAUCACUCGGGAGUUGAUCACGGGUAUAUACUUAUAUACAUAAUAUAUGAUACUUGUGGUGACUAAAGACGGGUCGGCUCGUAGGAGUACCCGCGAGUGAUCCACGGAUUGGGUCCGAAAGGACGUUUGUCCCGACGGCCCUCUGAGUGGAUCUUUGUGGCGAAGCGACAUGGCAGGUUGAGACCACCUAGGAGAGAGGUGAGCCUGGCCCUGGUUGGCGUUCGCGGUUAUUUCAAAAUAACACGUUUAACGAGAUCUUGGUAUUUGAACUGAGUCUGGCUACUGGCCUAUACGCACUAACCAUCUACACGGGGACAGUUAUGGGCACUUGACGUCGUGGUAUCAGCCGAAGCCUUCGUGACGUCAGCGACUGAGCGGCGCGCGCCGGAUUGGAACGUAUGCCUGCUCUUGUAUUAAGGGGCUAGUUCUGCCUCCGGCCACCCUCACAACGUGCAGGUGUGCAAUGGGCGAUGGGUCCAAACCCCUGCGCCAUAGGAUUUAGACCGGCAUGCUGACCUCUCUGUUGUGCCUUGGUAGGUAUGCGACGUGUUGAUCUUCCGAGGCCGGGCAUGACCCAGGAAAGUGUGCUGGCCAAAUGGGAUCGAGCGUGUUGUGUUAUGUGGUGCACCCUUGCAGGGAAGUUAAUCUAUUCGAAUAGCCGCGAUCUUCGGUAACAGGACGACUUGGAGUUGUACCUUGACCCUAUGAUAACUAGAACCGGAUAUUUAAUAAAACACACCCUUCCAAGUACCAGAUACAACCGAUGGUCGCUCUCUCACAGGCCGACGAGGGGAGGAUCAUCGGUUAGGUUUAUGCUAUGCGAUGCUACUUGGUGAACUUACCAUCUACUCUUUUCUCCUGCUGUAAGAUGGAGGUUACCAGAAGCGUAGUCUUCAAUAGGACUAGCUAUCCCCCUCUUAUUCUGGCAUUCUGCAGUUCAGUCCACAUAUGAUACCCUUAAUCCCUUUGAUACAAAUUCAUACAUAUGUAGUGUAGCUCCUUGCUUGCGAGUAUUUUGGAUGAGUACUCAUGGUUGCUUUGAUCCCUCUUUUCCCCCUUUCUAUACCCGAUUGCUGUGACCAGACGUUGGAGCCCAGGAGCCAGACGCCACCGUCG